This 393-nucleotide ribosomal RNA is filed under the name uncultured bacterium. RNAcentral describes it as "partial 16S ribosomal RNA". It matches the Rfam family "Bacterial small subunit ribosomal RNA", at positions 523 to 918 of the family's 1533-position model. The record is from RNAcentral.
AUACGGAGGAUGCGGGCGUUAUCCGGAUUUAUUGGGUUUAAAGGGAGCGUAGGUGGGAUAUUAAGUCAGCUGUGAAAGUUUGGGGCUCAACCUUAAAAUUGCAGUUGAUACUGGUUUCCUUGAGUACGGUACAGGUGGGCGGAAUUCGUGGUGUAGCGGUGAAAUGCUUAGAUAUCACGAAGAACUCCGAUCGCGAAGGCAGCUCACCGGGCCGGAACUGACACUGAUGCUCGAAAGUGCGUGUAUCAAACAGGAUUAGAUAUCCUGGUAGUCCGCACAGUAAACGAUGAAUACUCGCUGUUUGCGAUACACGGUAAGCGGCCAAGCGAAAGCGUUAAGUAUUCCACCUGGGGAGUACGCCGGCAACGGUGAAACUCAAAUGAAUUGACGGGG